CAGUAGCCACGGUAAUACAGAGGGUGCGAGCGUUAAUCGGAUUUACUGGGCGUAAAGCGUGCGUAGGCGGCUUCUUAAGUCGGAUGUGAAAUCCCUGAGCUUAACUUAGGAAUUGCAUUCGAUACUGGGAAGCUAGAGUAUGGGAGAGGAUGGUAGAAUUCCAGGUGUAGCGGUGAAAUGCGUAGAGAUCUGGAGGAAUACCGAUGGCGAAGGCAGCCAUCUGGCCUAAUACUGACGCUGAGGUACGAAAGCAUGGGGAGCAAACAUGAUUAGAUACCCCUGUAGUCCCUGUCUCUUAUAC
This 301-nucleotide ribosomal RNA is filed under the name uncultured bacterium. RNAcentral's name for it is "partial 16S ribosomal RNA". It matches the Rfam family "Bacterial small subunit ribosomal RNA", at positions 509 to 807 of the family's 1533-position model. The record is from RNAcentral.